Pezoporus occidentalis (night parrot) is the source of this 1413-nucleotide long non-coding RNA. RefSeq lists it as uncharacterized. Lineage: Eukaryota; Metazoa; Chordata; Aves; Psittaciformes; Psittacidae. The transcript has 2 exons. The record is from RefSeq and is a predicted model, not a curated record.
AAAAAAUGGAUAUCUAUUCUGUGAACAGAGAAGGAAUUCAAUGAUGCUAAUAAUUAUUCUGCAGCAGGGAGAAGCUGAUAUUUUAGUGAAUGUUCCCCUUUGACAUGAACUUUUUCCCUCUUUUAUGUUAGGGGGAUUGUUUACAUAUAACAAGGAAAAACUCCUAUUUCCAUUUAUUUUAAAAAAUAUAUAAAAAAAAAAAAUCCCUCUGUGGGCUGUCAGAGCUGAAAAUACACUGAGCUGGCUGCCUCUGGGCAUUUAUCAAACUUCAAGUGCCCAUGACUCAUUCCUUGAUUACAAAAGAAAAAAUAAUAACUUUCAAAUUUGCUACACGAGAGACUUAAACAGAGUUCUCAAUGCUACUGCAUGGCAGAAGAAAGAAAAAAUGGAAAGGCUAUACCAACUCUAGUACAAAAUGGGGUUCUGUUUCAGUUCCCUAGCAUUCAUGUUUAAAAAAAAGUCUUAUCUACUUUAAAGAGGAGGAAUUUGAAAUUAGCUCUGCAUGCACUUCAUAAGACUCAUCAUCAAAAAGAGAAUGAAUACUUUAUGUGCUGAGCAUAGUGGAUGCAGAAACAAAGAUGUUAUCAAUACGUGUUAUUUGGAAUACAUAUGGAAAGAACAAAAUAUAUGGUAGCACUUUUUCAUCCUGAUUCUGGUAAAUAUGAGAAAGAAAGAGAUUUGGUGUAAAUUUUACCACUCCCAAAGUGGGAAAUUAGGAGGAAAGGUAACAGCUGUCCCAGGAAGUAGGCUCUCUUUAAAUGCAGUCAUCCAAGCAGAGUACCCCAUAUGAAAUGGAGUGUGGGUAAGAUGGGGCUAUACUUGGUUUCAGGCUUUGCUUCUUGCAUUUGUUGCAUCUAUUCUUUUUUUAGCAGUUGCACAAAUAUCUGUUUCAUUUGUUGCAGUCAAUGAAACCUGAAUCUCCUCUUCUGACAGAGGACUUGUUGCAAGGGUGAUCUUCAGCUGCUUGCAAGCUAUAGACAAAAUCUUGCUUGGUCAUGGGGAUUGCAGUCUGCUCCUUCUGUUAGAAGAAUGGGAAAGGAGACAUGAACAGGGAGCAAGAUUGUCUGUCUAGUGAUGUUAAUACUGUCCAUGAUUUUGGAUAACAUCUACAAAAGAUUAACCCAAGGGAGAUAGGAAGGACUGAAAGGAAAAAAUGAACUGCAGCCUCUUCUCACUUCAGCCUAUUUACUGAAAAUCUCUUAACUCUACUUAUUCUCCUGUCUUUUGAUUUUUAAGUAAUUCAACUCUAAUAGAUAAUAUGAUACAGUUUUGAUACAUAACCUGUUACAUAAGAUACCAUGCCUCUACUAUUCAAAAGAAAUAAUUUCUGUAGCAUUUCAUAGCAAAACGUAAAGUAGUCCAUGGGAAGAGUAAACUGAAAAAAUAAUUAAAAAAAAUUAUGAUUCAGGUCUA